GGUAUUUGAAAUCCAGAACCACACUCUCGUCAGUUUAGGGAACAAGGCCUCUCUUUUUUCCCCUAAGGACUCAACUUGAAAUUCUGAUUCUGGUAUAUGCUUGUCGAUAUAAAAGUGAAGUUUUAACCAGCAAAAAGAACUUUUCAUUGGAAUAUGUUCAUACCUGGAGAACAGCGGGAUGUUACAAGAUUACAAGGACCUGAUUUACCUCAGAAGAUAUCCUGCCCUCAUGUUUCCCUCAGAGCUUCACCCACACACGUUGUAGAGAGAGACUGGGCCUUUGUGGAAAUUCAGCAGAUAUUGUGCUAUCGCCACCAGACUAUCUGAAAUUGAGUAAGGUUUAAGAACAUCCUACACAGAAGCAGGAAGAAAAUGACACUGUUUGAAUACUUUCUGCUCUGCUUCUCAUCAUCUGUUAAGCAAUAGACUUGGCUCCGGGCUGCACCGUCUGUAAUGAAACCUGGUGUCUCCAAGGUCCAUCCGAUGCAGUCAGCAGUAGGAAGCCUGUUUCCUGUACUGCACAUUGUAAUUAGGCUUCAAGCUAUUUCAGAUGCUAUGAUGGUACAAUUUAUUUUUUGACUGCGCCAACUCCGGGGAUGGGCAGGGAGUAAAUACAGCUGGACUGCAUACAACUGGUGAAGAGCAAGAGGGCUGAAACCCUUCAUUGCAUUGUUCUUGCAUUCAGACAAUCUGUCUCAGCAGUUCCCAGGUGGCAUUUUCAUGCACACUUCAAUACACAAAGUCCAGCAGCCAAAUAUAAUCUCACCUGGAUUACAGAGAGUUAAAUUUUGGACUUUAAUCUGAAAGAUUUAUUUUUAUUUCUAUUGAAUGUAUCUCUGGAGCUGACAAACUGACAUUUUAAUUUGUGCUCUCAUUAUUCUAAUUUAGCACUGGAAAGCUCCACUAUUCAUAAUAAUGAGACAGUUAUUAAA
Non-coding RNA from Chiloscyllium plagiosum (whitespotted bambooshark), 932 nucleotides. The record is from RefSeq and is a predicted model, not a curated record. NCBI's taxonomy places the organism in Eukaryota, Metazoa, Chordata, Chondrichthyes, Orectolobiformes, Hemiscylliidae.